GGUCUUGUAGCUCAGCUGGUUAGAGCACCUGACUCAUAAUCAGGGGGUCCCUGGUUCAAGCCCAGGCGGGACCA
Molecule: transfer RNA, 74 nt
Filed under: Chitinophagales bacterium
Lineage: Bacteria; Pseudomonadati; Bacteroidota; Chitinophagia; Chitinophagales
Description: tRNA-Ile
Rfam family: tRNA
About the family: Transfer RNA (tRNA) molecules are approximately 80 nucleotides in length.
Source: RNAcentral